UACGUAUGGUGCAAGCGUUAUCCGGAAUGACUGGGUGUAAAGGGAGCGUAGACGGUUGUACAAGUCUGAUGUGAAAGCCCACGGCUCAACUGUGGGAGUGCAUUGGAAACUGUAGAACUAGAGUAUCGGAGAGGCGAGUGGAAUUCCUAGUGUAGCGGUGAAAUGCGUAGAUAUUAGGAGGAACACCAGUGGCGAAGGCGGCUUGCUGGACGAAAACUGACGUUGAGGCUCGAAAGCGUGGGGAGCAAACAGG
This 253-nucleotide ribosomal RNA is filed under the name uncultured bacterium. Its description in RNAcentral is "partial 16S ribosomal RNA". It matches the Rfam family "Bacterial small subunit ribosomal RNA", at positions 524 to 776 of the family's 1533-position model. The record is from RNAcentral.